Molecule: transfer RNA, 69 nt
Filed under: Marmota marmota marmota (Alpine marmot)
Lineage: Eukaryota; Metazoa; Chordata; Mammalia; Rodentia; Sciuridae
Also listed under: 1 other name
Rfam family: tRNA
About the family: Transfer RNA (tRNA) molecules are approximately 80 nucleotides in length. Their secondary structure includes four short double-helical elements and three loops (D, anti-codon, and T loops). Further hydrogen bonds mediate the characteristic L-shaped molecular structure. tRNAs have two regions of fundamental functional importance: the anti-codon, which is responsible for specific mRNA codon recognition, and the 3' end, to which the tRNAs corresponding amino acid is attached (by aminoacyl-tRNA synthetases). tRNAs cope with the degeneracy of the genetic code in two manners: having more than one tRNA (with a specific anti-codon) for a particular amino acid; and 'wobble' base-pairing, i.e. permitting non-standard base-pairing at the 3rd anti-codon position.
Source: Rfam by way of RNAcentral
GGGGCUGGGGCUCAUAGGUAGAGCGCUCGCCUAGCAUGUGUGAGGCCCUGAGUUCAAUCCUCAGCACCA